This 844-nucleotide ribosomal RNA is filed under the name uncultured organism. RNAcentral's name for it is "bacterial SSU rRNA". It matches the Rfam family "Bacterial small subunit ribosomal RNA", at positions 18 to 848 of the family's 1533-position model. The record is from RNAcentral.
CCUGGCUCAGAACGAACGCUGGCGGCGCGUUUUAAGCAUGCAAGUCGAACGGUAGAGUAGUGCUUGCACUACUUGAGAGUGGCGAACGGGCGAGUAACACGUAGGUGAUCUAUCUUUGGAUUUGGGAUAGCCUGUGGAAACACAGGGUAAUACCGGAUACGAGCUGGAAGCUGUAGCUUUCAGUGGGAAAGGCCCUUAGGGGUCGUCCGAAGCUGAGCCUGCGGUCCAUUAGCUGGUUGGUGUGGUAAUGGCGCACCAAGGCGACGAUGGAUAGCCGGCCUGAGAGGGUGCUCGGCCACACUGGGACUGAGACACGGCCCAGACUCCUACGGGAGGCAGCAGCUAAGAAUCCUCCGCAAUGGGCGAAAGCCUGACGGAGCGACGCCGCGUGAACGAUGAAGGCCGUGAGGUUGUAAAGUUCUUUUCCUGGGGGAGAAUAACAGCCGGAGGGAAUGCCGGUUGGAUGACGUGAACCAGGGAAUAAGCCCCGGCUAAUUACGUGCCAGCAGCCGCGGUAACACGUAAGGGGCGAGCGUUGUUCGGAUUUAUUGGGCGUAAAGGGCGUGUAGGCGGUAGUGCAAGUCUGGUGUGAAAUACCCCGGUUCAACCGGGGAGGCGCGCUGGAAACUGUGCUGCUUGAGUCUAGGAGGGGGAGCUGGAAUUCCUGGUGUAGGGGUGAAAUCUGUAGAGAUCAGGAAGAACACCGGCGGCGAAGGCGAGCUCCUGGCCAUAGACUGACGCUGAGGCGCGAAAGCGUGGGGAGCGAACAGGAUUAGAUACCCUGGUAGUCCACGCUGUAAACGAUGUGCACUAGGUGUUGGGACUGAUGAAAGUCUCGGUGCCG